Molecule: ribosomal RNA, 627 nt
Filed under: Copelatus sp. MB3941
Lineage: Eukaryota; Metazoa; Arthropoda; Insecta; Coleoptera; Dytiscidae
Description: SSU rRNA
Rfam family: Eukaryotic small subunit ribosomal RNA
Source: RNAcentral
UUGAUCCUGCCAGUAGUCAUAUGCUUGUCUCAAAGAUUAAGCCAUGCAUGUCUCAGUACAAGCCGCAUUAAGGUGAAACCGCGAAAGGCUCAUUAAAUCAGUUAUGGUUCCUUAGAUCGUACCAACAUUUACUUGGAUAACUGUGGUAAUUCUAGAGCUAAUACAUGCAAACAGAGUUCCGACCGGAGACGGGAGGAAUGCUUUUAUUAGAUCAAAACCAAUCGGCGGCGUGCGCGUUCGCGCGCACGUUCGCCGCUCAACCUGGUGACUCUGAAUAACUUCCGGCUGAUCGCACGGUCCAGCACCGGCGACGCAUCUUUCAAAUGUCUGCCUUAUCAACUGUCGAUGGUAGGUUCUGCGCCUACCAUGGUCGUAACGGGUAACGGGGAAUCAGGGUUCGAUUCCGGAGAGGGAGCCUGAGAAACGGCUACCACAUCCAAGGAAGGCAGCAGGCGCGCAAAUUACCCACUCCCGGCACGGGGAGGUAGUGACGAAAAAUAACGAUACGGGACUCAUCCGAGGCCCCGUAAUCGGAAUGAGUACACUUUAAAUCCUUUAACGAGGAUCAAUUGGAGGGCAAGUCUGGUGCCAGCAGCCGCGGUAAUUCCAGCUCCAAUAGCGUAUAUU